Paramuricea clavata is the source of this 549-nucleotide non-coding RNA. The record is from the annotation of a GenBank genome assembly. NCBI's taxonomy places the organism in Eukaryota, Metazoa, Cnidaria, Anthozoa, Malacalcyonacea, Plexauridae.
UUCUUUUUGGCAAAACAAACUCAAAAAUCAAUAUUGAAUGCGUGUGCACUGUCUUUGAAAACACAAAUGUCGCGAUUUUUGUUUUUCGAGUAUACACUUACUUCGAACCCUGUAACUACAGUUUUAAAACAGUUUAGGAUUUUAAAGUCACAUAUUUUGACUUAGUUAAAGUUUAAUUUGAAUAAGAGGUGUCAAGUUAAUGUAAAAAUCGUUUGAACUUUAUUGGAAGUAUAUUAAUACAGUACGUACCCAUGCACAUAAACACCAGGGCAAUGGCGACAUUUGUGUUGUCAAAAAUAGUAUGCACACAAUCAUUGAUUAUUUUUAGCCUUAUUAACCCAAAAGAAGUUUAAAAAAGCGAUAGUGGAACUCACUAGUCUAUUCUUGUUAAAAAUAUGUGACUUUAAAAUCCUAAACUGUUUUAAAACUGUAGUUACAGGGUUCGAAGUAAGUGUAUACUCGAAAAACAAAAAUCGCGACAUUUGUGUUUUCAAAGACAAUGCACACGCAUUCAAUAUUGAUUUUUGAGUUUGUUUUGCCAAAAAGAAG